CCUACGGGAGGCAGCAGUGGGGAAUAUUGGACAAUGGGCGAAAGCCUGAUCCAGCCAUGCCGCGUGUGUGAAGAAGGCCUUCGGGUUGUAAAGCACUUUCAGUGGGGAAGAAAGCCUUGGGGCUAAUACCCUCGAGGAAGGACAUCACCCACAGAAGAAGCACCGACUAACUCCGUGCCAGCAGCCGCGGUAAUACGGAGGGUGCGAGCGUUAAUCGGAAUUACUGGGCGUAAAGCGCGCGUAGGCGGUCUGAUAAGCCGGUUGUGAAAGCCCCGGGCUCAACCUGGGAACGGCAUCCGGAACUGUCAGGCUAGAGUGCAGGAGAGGAAGGUAGAAUUCCCGGUGUAGCGGUGAAAUGCGUAGAGAUCGGGAGGAAUACCAGUGGCGAAGGCGGCCUUCUGGACUGACACUGACGCUGAGGUGCGAAAGCGUGGGUAGCAAACAGGAUUAGAUACCCUUGUAGUC
Molecule: ribosomal RNA, 465 nt
Filed under: Vreelandella stevensii
Lineage: Bacteria; Pseudomonadati; Pseudomonadota; Gammaproteobacteria; Oceanospirillales; Halomonadaceae
Description: partial 16S ribosomal RNA
Rfam family: Bacterial small subunit ribosomal RNA
Source: RNAcentral